RNAcentral lists this transfer RNA (76 nucleotides) under Mus musculus (house mouse). Its description in RNAcentral is "tRNA-Ser". Lineage: Eukaryota; Metazoa; Chordata; Mammalia; Rodentia; Muridae. The record is from RNAcentral.
GGUUGGUGAGAGGGCUCAGUGGGUAAGAGCACCCGACUGCUCUUCUGAAGGUCCAGAGUUCAAAUCCCAGCAACCA